AGAACGAACGCUGGCGGCAUGCCUAACACAUGCAAGUCGAACGAGACCUUCGGGUCUAGUGGCGCACGGGUGCGUAACGCGUGGGAAUCUGCCCUUGGGUUCGGAAUAACAGUUAGAAAUGACUGCUAAUACCGGAUGAUGACGAAAGUCCAAAGAUUUAUCGCCCAGGGAUGAGCCCGCGUAGGAUUAGCUAGUUGGUGAGGUAAAGGCUCACCAAGGCGACGAUCCUUAGCUGGUCUGAGAGGAUGAUCAGCCACACUGGGACUGAGACACGGCCCAGACC
RNAcentral lists this ribosomal RNA (283 nucleotides) under uncultured soil bacterium. Its description in RNAcentral is "partial 16S ribosomal RNA". It matches the Rfam family "Bacterial small subunit ribosomal RNA", at positions 26 to 337 of the family's 1533-position model. The record is from RNAcentral.